CUCAAGUCGCCGCCACUUCCUGCGAUAGCAAUCUUUCUCUCAGGAGACUCCAAAGCUGAAGCUGCACUCUUACUGGAGGAGCUCGUGCUCUCAGCGAGUGAGGAUUGUGCUCAAUCUCAAAGGGCUGGGGUAUGAGUACAAAGCAGUGAACCUUUUGAAGGGAGAGCAGUUCACUCCAGCGAUCAUGUCUUUAAAUGAUCAAUUUAGCAUCCAUGAUGAUUGUAGUGAUGAUGAGAGUACUUCUAAACGUAAAAGAAGACA
This is a long non-coding RNA of Asparagus officinalis (garden asparagus), 261 nucleotides long. RefSeq lists it as uncharacterized. The record is from RefSeq and is a predicted model, not a curated record. The transcript is spliced from 4 exons. Lineage: Eukaryota; Viridiplantae; Streptophyta; Magnoliopsida; Asparagales; Asparagaceae.